RNAcentral lists this ribosomal RNA (485 nucleotides) under uncultured Mucilaginibacter sp. RNAcentral's name for it is "bacterial SSU rRNA". It matches the Rfam family "Bacterial small subunit ribosomal RNA", at positions 27 to 507 of the family's 1533-position model. The record is from RNAcentral. Lineage: Bacteria; Pseudomonadati; Bacteroidota; Sphingobacteriia; Sphingobacteriales; Sphingobacteriaceae.
CGGAUGAACGCUAGCGGCAGGCCUAAUACAUGCAAGUCGGACGGGGAUUGAGGAGCUUGCUCCUCAUGAGAGUGGCGCACGGGUGCGUAACACGUAUGUAACCUACCUUCAUCAGGGGGAUAGCCUCUCGAAAGAGAGAUUAACACCGCAUAAAAUCACAGAGCAGCAUUGCUUAAUGAUCAAAUAUUUAUAGGAUGAAGAUGGGCAUGCGGGACAUUAGCUAGUUGGCGGGGUAACGGCCCACCAAGGCGACGAUGUCUAGGGGAUCUGAGAGGAUGACCCCCCACACUGGUACUGAGACACGGACCAGACUCCUACGGGAGGCAGCAGUAAGGAAUAUUGGUCAAUGGAGGCAACUCUGAACCAGCCAUGCCGCGUGCAGGAAGACGGCCCUAUGGGUUGUAAACUGCUUUUGUACCGGAAUAAACCUUGAUAUGUAUAUCAAGCUGAAUGUACGGUAAGAAUAAGGAUCGGCUAACUCCGUG